CCGUAUGUAAACAUGGGAUGGAGUUUUUUACUAUAUAAAGUGAUCAAACAAUUCAACAUUUAUUAUAUGCAAAGUUAAAAAAAAAAUGGCUAAAAUUAUCAAGUUUCUUUAUAAUACGAUCCUUUUUGUUUGUUUGUUUCUUCAUGUAACUUAUGGUGAUAGAGAGUGUGUUACUAGCGCUGAUUGCCAAAAAAAAUACCAUGGCAAUCAACAUCUAUCGAAGUGUCGUUACGGUCAUUGUGUGAGCUAUACCAAAUAGGUAUAUAUAGGUUAUCCUCAUGACAAGACUGGGGAGUAGUAUCAAGGUGUUUAUGUACGAGAAUAAAAUGGAUAUUUAUUUUGUAACCUAUAUUAUGUUUUUCUUAAAAGUUUGUUUGAUUAUUGUUUAUGUUUAAAUUAUGUUAUAGGCACUUGUAUUGUGACAUCAAUUCCAAGUUUAAUAUUUGGACUUGACUUAUUAUCUUGGAUCUUGAGAAAACAUUACAUAUUUUAUUUUAUUGUGAG
This is a long non-coding RNA of Medicago truncatula (barrel medic), 504 nucleotides long. RefSeq lists it as uncharacterized. The record is from RefSeq and is a predicted model, not a curated record. The transcript is spliced from 3 exons. Lineage: Eukaryota; Viridiplantae; Streptophyta; Magnoliopsida; Fabales; Fabaceae.